AUGGUGUCACGAAAGUUCUUCUGUUUUAAAAAAACACUCAAGGAAAUUGAAUUUGUAGUGAAGAUGCUACAUUAAAAUUGUUAGACGAGAAGUCCCCAUGGAGCUUUACUGAAAGCCUAAAAAAAAUUUUUUAUUUAUUUAUAGGCUAGACAGUUUUGUUGGGGUGAUAGUUUUUUAAAAAGUAACGAAAACGAACUAUGACGCAUGUUUCACUCUGAAAACUUGAAGAGACAUUUGGGGUGUGUUUUAUGAUCUAUUGUUUUGAAUGAAAAAGAUAAUGAAAGCAGAUAAAAG
RNAcentral lists this ribosomal RNA (294 nucleotides) under Solenosmilia variabilis. RNAcentral's name for it is "partial 16S ribosomal RNA". It matches the Rfam family "Bacterial large subunit ribosomal RNA", at positions 1996 to 2462 of the family's 2925-position model. Lineage: Eukaryota; Metazoa; Cnidaria; Anthozoa; Scleractinia; Caryophylliidae. The record is from RNAcentral.